RNAcentral lists this transfer RNA (79 nucleotides) under Claviceps purpurea (ergot fungus). RNAcentral describes it as "tRNA-Ala". It matches the Rfam family "tRNA". From Rfam's summary of the family: Transfer RNA (tRNA) molecules are approximately 80 nucleotides in length. Their secondary structure includes four short double-helical elements and three loops (D, anti-codon, and T loops). Further hydrogen bonds mediate the characteristic L-shaped molecular structure. tRNAs have two regions of fundamental functional importance: the anti-codon, which is responsible for specific mRNA codon recognition, and the 3' end, to which the tRNAs corresponding amino acid is attached (by aminoacyl-tRNA synthetases). tRNAs cope with the degeneracy of the genetic code in two manners: having more than one tRNA (with a specific anti-codon) for a particular amino acid; and 'wobble' base-pairing, i.e. permitting non-standard base-pairing at the 3rd anti-codon position. Lineage: Eukaryota; Fungi; Ascomycota; Sordariomycetes; Hypocreales; Clavicipitaceae. The record is from RNAcentral.
GGGCGGAUGGUUUAGUGGUAUAAUACUCCCUUAGCAUGAUAUCUGGGAGUGGUCCGGGGUUCGAUUCCCCGUCUGUCCA